CAGCCGCCGCGGGAAUACGAAGGGGGCUAGCGUUGUUCGGAUUUACUGGGCGUAAAGCGCACGUAGGCGGAUCGAUCAGUCAGGGGUGAAAUCUCAGAGCUCAACUCUGGAACUGCCUUUGAUACUGUCGAUCUGGAGUAUGGAAGAGGUGAGUGGAAUUCCGAGUGUAGAGGUGAAAUUCGUAGAUAUUCGGAGGAACACCAGUGGCGAAGGCGGCUCACUGGUCCAUUACUGACGCUGAGGUGCGAAAGCGUGGGGAGCAAACAGGAUUAGAUACCCCCGUAGUCCCUGUCUCUUAUAA
Molecule: ribosomal RNA, 301 nt
Filed under: uncultured bacterium
Lineage: Bacteria
Description: partial 16S ribosomal RNA
Rfam family: Bacterial small subunit ribosomal RNA
Source: RNAcentral